This 842-nucleotide ribosomal RNA is filed under the name Mycobacterium paragordonae. RNAcentral describes it as "bacterial SSU rRNA". It matches the Rfam family "Bacterial small subunit ribosomal RNA", at positions 76 to 920 of the family's 1533-position model. Lineage: Bacteria; Bacillati; Actinomycetota; Actinomycetes; Mycobacteriales; Mycobacteriaceae. The record is from RNAcentral.
CCCUUCGGGGUACACGAGUGGCGAACGGGUGAGUAACACGUGGGUAAUCUGCCCUGCACAUCGGGAUAAGCCUGGGAAACUGGGUCUAAUACCGAAUAGGACCACAGAACACAUGUCCUGUGGUGGAAAGCUUUUGCGGUGUGGGAUGGGCCCGCGGCCUAUCAGCUUGUUGGUGGGGUGAUGGCCCACCAAGGCGACGACGGGUAGCCGGCCUGAGAGGGUGUCCGGCCACACUGGGACUGAGAUACGGCCCAGACUCCUACGGGAGGCAGCAGUGGGGAAUAUUGCACAAUGGGCGAAAGCCUGAUGCAGCGACGCCGCGUGGGGGAUGACGGCCUUCGGGUUGUAAACCUCUUUCACCAUCGACGAAGGUUCGGGUUUUCUCGGAUUGACGGUAGGUGGAGAAGAAGCACCGGCCAACUACGUGCCAGCAGCCGCGGUAAUACGUAGGGUGCGAGCGUUGUCCGGAAUUACUGGGCGUAAAGAGCUCGUAGGUGGUUUGUCGCGUUGUUCGUGAAAUCUCACGGCUUAACUGUGAGCGUGCGGGCGAUACGGGCAGACUUGAGUACUGCAGGGGAGACUGGAAUUCCUGGUGUAGCGGUGGAAUGCGCAGAUAUCAGGAGGAACACCGGUGGCGAAGGCGGGUCUCUGGGCAGUAACUGACGCUGAGGAGCGAAAGCGUGGGGAGCGAACAGGAUUAGAUACCCUGGUAGUCCACGCCGUAAACGGUGGGUACUAGGUGUGGGUUUCCUUCCUUGGGAUCCGUGCCGUAGCUAACGCAUUAAGUACCCCGCCUGGGGAGUACGGCCGCAAGGCUAAAACUCAAAGAAAUUGACGGGGGC